This 528-nucleotide ribosomal RNA is filed under the name uncultured bacterium. RNAcentral's name for it is "bacterial SSU rRNA". It matches the Rfam family "Bacterial small subunit ribosomal RNA", at positions 777 to 1304 of the family's 1533-position model. The record is from RNAcentral.
AAUAGAUACCCCGGUAGUCCACGCCGUAAACGAUGAGUGCUAAGUGUUAGAGGGUUUCCGCCCUUUAGUGCUGCAGCUAACGCAUUAAGCACUCCGCCUGGGGAGUACGGUCGCAAGACUGAAACUCAAAGGAAUUGACGGGGGCCCGCACAAGCGGUGAAGCAUGUGGUUUAAUUCGAAGCAACGCGAAGAACCUUACCAGGUCUUGACAUCCCACUGACCGGUAUAGAGAUAUACCUUUCCCUUCGGGGACAGUGGUGACAGGUGGUGCAUGGUUGUCGUCAGCUCGUGUCGUGAGAUGUUGGGUUAAGUCCCGCAACGAGCGCAACCCUUGAUCUUAGUUGCCAGCAUUUAGUUGGGCACUCUAAGGUGACUGCCGGUGACAAACCGGAGGAAGGUGGGGAUGACGUCAAAUCAUCAUGCCCCUUAUGACCUGGGCUACACACGUGCUACAAUGGAUGGUACAAAGGGCUGCAAGACUGCGAAGUCAAGCCAAUCCCAUAAACCAUUCUCAGUUCGGAUUGCAGG